RNAcentral lists this ribosomal RNA (592 nucleotides) under uncultured bacterium. RNAcentral's name for it is "bacterial SSU rRNA". It matches the Rfam family "Bacterial small subunit ribosomal RNA", at positions 13 to 576 of the family's 1533-position model. The record is from RNAcentral.
AUGAUCAUGGCUCAGAAUCAACGCUGGCGUAGUGCCUAACACAUGCAAGUCGAACGCGAAAGUGGGGCAAUCCAUGAGUAGAGUGGCGAACGGGUGAGUAACACGUGGGUGACCUACCCUCGAGUGGGGGAUAACAUCCCGAAAGGGGUGCUAAUACCGCAUGACAUCCUGCCUUUGAACAGGUGGACAUUAAAGCCGGGGAUCGCAAGACCUGGCGCUCGAAGAGGGGCCCGCGCCCGAUUAGCUAGUGGGGUGAGGUAACAGGCUCACCAAGGCUACGAUCGGUAUCCUGGCCUGAGAGGGCGGACGGACACACCGGGACUGAGACACGGCCAGACUCCUACGGGAGGCAGCAGUGGGGAAUUGUUCGCAAUGGGCGAAAGCCUGACGACGCAACGCCGCGUGGAGGAUGACGAUCUUCGGGUCGUAAACUCCUUUCGAUCGGGACGAAUGAUCGGUGACCUAACACGUACAUCGGCAAUGACGGUACCGAGAGAAGAAGCCCCGGACUAACUCCGUGCCAGCACGCCGCGGUAAUACGGGGGGGCGCAAGCGUUGUUCGGAAGUUACUGGGCGUUAAGGGCGCGUAAGA